Long non-coding RNA from Xiphophorus hellerii (green swordtail), 731 nucleotides. RefSeq lists it as uncharacterized. The record is from RefSeq and is a predicted model, not a curated record. NCBI's taxonomy places the organism in Eukaryota, Metazoa, Chordata, Actinopteri, Cyprinodontiformes, Poeciliidae. The transcript is spliced from 5 exons.
AAAUACAAAAAGAAAAUUAGUAAAGCAAUAAACCAACGGAAAUAAAUCAUUGUUUAAUUAAUAGCUACUGUAAAAUGAAAGCUGAAAUAGCUCUAUGCGUGACAUCUGUCAGCCAUUGUUUCUGAGUGGCUGAACAGCAGCAGCCGCACCACGCAGGCUUUACACAUUUACCAGGCGGAAGAAAAAGUAGCUCCCAUUUAGGCAAGAGCUCAAUAAUUAUCGUCUGUAUUUCAGCGUCUGAGACUCUCGACAAGGAAAAUAAGAGCUUCAGCGUACCCUGAGAAGCAGUUGGCGUUGGUCAGCACGUCUCUCUCAGACACCAGCGUCCCUCCACACACGUGCUGGCCGUUCUUCUGUAAGCUGGCCAUCCACGGCCACUCACCGGCCGACGCCACAGACACUCCACCCGAAAUCCUAGAAGCCAGUGGGGCCUGUCCACAGACCACACCUGGAGGAGGAAGACACAGAUGGUCGUAUCCAACCUGCAACAGCAUGCAGGAGUCUGGCUUGCUUUCAUUUUUCACAGCAAAGAAUAACAUGCUCUCCAACAGUGUUACAGCGCCACCCAUUGGCCCGCCGGUCCUAUUACAUCAGUUUCUGUGGCGCUGCAUCCUGACCUCAAAUAAGACAAGAUUUAAAUCCCAGGAUCAGCAGUUUAGUGCUGCGGUGGAGUUCAGCCUCCAUCAUUUGGACAACAGACCAUAAAUAAAGACAUCAUGGCGUCCUGAAGU